Molecule: ribosomal RNA, 253 nt
Filed under: uncultured bacterium
Lineage: Bacteria
Description: partial 16S ribosomal RNA
Rfam family: Bacterial small subunit ribosomal RNA
Source: RNAcentral
UACGGAGGGUGCAAGCGUUAAUCGGAAUUACUGGGCGUAAAGCGUGCGUAGGUGGUUUGUUAAGUCUGUUGUGAAAGCCCCGGGCUCAACCUGGGAAUGGCAAUGGAUACUGGCAGGCUAGAGUGCGGUAGAGGGUAGUGGAAUUCCCGGUGUAGCGGUGAAAUGCGUAGAGAUCGGGAGGAACACCAGUGGCGAAGGCGGCUACCUGGACCAGCACUGACACUGAGGCACGAAAGCGUGGGGAGCAAACAGG